RNAcentral lists this ribosomal RNA (497 nucleotides) under uncultured bacterium. RNAcentral's name for it is "partial 16S ribosomal RNA". It matches the Rfam family "Bacterial small subunit ribosomal RNA", at positions 28 to 507 of the family's 1533-position model. The record is from RNAcentral.
GAUGAACGCUGGCGGCGUGCCUAAUACAUGCAAGUCGAGCGAACAGACGAGGAGCUUGCUCCUCUGACGUUAGCGGCGGACGGGUGAGUAACACGUGGAUAACCUACCUAUAAGACUGGGAUAACUUCGGGAAACCGGAGCUAAUACCGGAUAAUAUAUUCAACCGCAUGGUUCAAUAGUUCAAGACGGUUUUGCUGUCACUUAUAGAUGGAUCCGCGCCGCAUUAGCUAGUUGGUAAGGUAACGGCUUACCAAGGCGACGAUGCGUAGCCGACCUGAGAGGGUGAUCGGCCACACUGGAACUGAGACACGGUCCAGACUCCUACGGGAGGCAGCAGUAGGGAAUCUUCCGCAAUGGGCGAAAGCCUGACGGAGCAACGCCGCGUGAGUGAUGAAGGUCUUCGGAUCGUAAAACUCUGUUAUUAGGGAAGAACAAAUGUGUAAGUAACUAUGCACGUCUUGACGGUACCUAAUCAGAAAGCCACGGCUAACUACGUG